Long non-coding RNA from Oncorhynchus keta (chum salmon), 408 nucleotides. RefSeq lists it as uncharacterized. Lineage: Eukaryota; Metazoa; Chordata; Actinopteri; Salmoniformes; Salmonidae. The record is from RefSeq and is a predicted model, not a curated record. The transcript is spliced from 3 exons.
GGUGAGGUGGGGAGGGGUGAGGAGGGAUGGGAGAGGAGGGGUGAGGUGGGGAGGGGUGGAGGGGAUGAGGUGGGAAGGGGUAAGGUAGGGAGGGGUGAGGAGGGGAUGGGAGAGGAGGGGUGAGGUGGGGAGGGGUGGAGGGGAUGGGAGAGGAGGGGUGAGGUAGGGAGGGGUGGAGGGGAUGAGGUGGGAAGGGGUAAGGUAGGGAGGGGUGAGGAGGGGUGAGGUGGGGAGGGGUGGAGGGGAUGGGAGAGGAGGGGUGAGGUAGGGAGGGGUGGAGGGGAUGAGGUGGGAAGGGGUAAGGUAGGGAGGGGUGAGGAGGGGAUGGGAGAGGAGGGGUGAGGUAGGGAGGGGUGAGGAGGGGAUGGGAGAGGAGGGGUGAGGUAGGGAGGGGUGGAGGGGAUGAGG